This 301-nucleotide ribosomal RNA is filed under the name uncultured bacterium. Its description in RNAcentral is "partial 16S ribosomal RNA". It matches the Rfam family "Bacterial small subunit ribosomal RNA", at positions 509 to 807 of the family's 1533-position model. The record is from RNAcentral.
CAGUAGCCGCGGUAAAACGGAGGGGGCUAGCGUUGUUCGGAAUUACUGGGCGUAAAGCGCACGUAGGCGGCUUGGUAAGUUAGAGGUGAAAGCCUGGAGCUCAACUCCAGAAUUGCCUUUAAGACUGCCGAGCUAGCAGGUGAGAGAGGUAAGUGGAAUUCCGAGUGUAGAGGUGAAAUUCGUAGAUAUUCGGAAGAACACCAGUGGCGAAGGCGGCUUACUGGCUCAUACUGGACGCUGAGGUGCGAAAGCGUGGGGAGCAAACAGGAUUAGAUACCCCCGUAGUCCCUGUCUCUUAUAC